Long non-coding RNA from Eubalaena glacialis (North Atlantic right whale), 1562 nucleotides. RefSeq lists it as uncharacterized. The record is from RefSeq and is a predicted model, not a curated record. Lineage: Eukaryota; Metazoa; Chordata; Mammalia; Artiodactyla; Balaenidae. The transcript has 4 exons.
UGUACUGUCACUCAUUAAGGCAGAGGCAGUCUGGGAUUUUGGAGACACAGGUGGACGCUGAGGCAGACAAGGACACACAGGGAGAGGAGGAGAGCACGCACAUGGUUGAGAGAGGACAGCUGGGACAGACCCCUGAGGGAUGCUGGACGUCAAAGGGGGGCUAACGGACAAGAAGCCAGGACAGGACGCUGAGCAAGCGCAGUUAAAGAGGAGGACCUGGAAGCCAGCGCAACUGUCGAAACCAGACAGAGGAGAAUGGUCUAGAGUGGGACUGAAAGCUCUACGGCCCAUGGGGGCAGGAGAGUCCAUAAGAGGAAGCAGUGGAGACCCUGCGUCAGGCUGCCCCUCAGCCUGAAGAAAAAUACCUGCGAUGUAUUUUCACCGACUCCAUCCCACUCUCCAGAGGGCCUGGGUAUAAAACAAUGCAGGGAAGAAGGUUUAUUUCCAAGGAAGCUUCUACAAUUGAAAACAAGGCUUUAAUGUAUCCCAAUCUGAUGACUAUACAGCUUUCUUUUUAAUCAGGAUGCUGUGAGUAGGAUGGUACUUAUUCACAGGACUAGAGUCAAUAUCUGAAGAAGAUACUGAUUCCCGAGGGCCCACUGAAAUACGUUAAAAGAGCCACAAUGUGGGAAAUUUGAUCACGGAUUUCAGGGAGACCAAAGGCUGAAGGCUAUUAAAAAAUUUUUUAAACAAAAUUAAACGCCUAGGAUUUGGUAUUUAAUCUGUGAAAUCAUCAGUUUAAUUAUAUUUGCAGAAGAUCAUUCUUUGGCACAGAGGAGGGAAAACCCUCUCUCAGUCCUUCAGAGAACACAAAACCAGGCAGGACAAACAAGGUGAAGCAUAACAGCCUCUUUCAAGGACCCUGAUUUCCCGGCUGCGGUCGGCACACUUAGCUCAGAGCGCCCUCUUCUGGACCUGGGCUCCACUGCACCAGCCUGGGCCCAGCCCACCAAAGGCAGGACAAGUCUGAUUUUCAGUCUGGAAAGCGGCUCCAAUUCUAGCUUCAACACAUCUUUGAGUUUCUUCUGCCUUAGCCACUGAAACCCCAAGAUGUUCUUUUUCAAUAUUUGUGCUACAUUUUCAGGUUACACAGGACUCUGCCUCCUCUUAAGAAUGAUUCCUUGGUGACUCUUUUUUUAAAAAAAAAUACCCUCCUCAGAUCUGAGCUAAGCCACUGGGAUUCCCCGUACGUUUGUUAACUGUCGGGAAUAAAGUCAUAAUUUUGGAUAAGUGGGAACUAGGUCUAGAAACCCACAGAGAACGUCAAACAGUUGUAUGUGUCAUUACCCAAUGCACUUGAGCAAAGUCUGUUUAAGACUGUGGGUUUUUGUCUCAUUCCAGAAAAGUUGUCAGAACCUUAGGUCAGCCUCAUAUUUCCUCUAUUCUUUUAACAAAUAUUGCCAAGCACCUACUAUGUGCCAGGGGUGUUCACAAUGGGGGACAAGAGGAGGAUAGUGUCACUUUAAUCCCUCAUGUGUUUUUACUGCAAAACAGCUGAAAAUCUAUGAGCGUCAUAAUGGGUUACUGGAGCCUCAAUAAAGUUCUUUCCAAUUACCUGUUAA